Molecule: ribosomal RNA, 560 nt
Filed under: uncultured bacterium
Lineage: Bacteria
Description: bacterial SSU rRNA
Rfam family: Bacterial small subunit ribosomal RNA
Source: RNAcentral
CCUACGGGAGGCAGCAGUGGGGAAUAUUGGACAAUGGGCGAAAGCCUGAUCCAGCAAUGCCGCGUGAGUGAUGAAGGCCUUCGGGUCGUAAAGCUCUUUUACCAGGGAUGAUAAUGACAGUACCUGGAGAAUAAGCUCCGGCUAACUCCGUGCCAGCAGCCGCGGUAAUACGGAGGGAGCUAGCGUUGUUCGGAAUUACUGGGCGUAAAGAGUACGUAGGCGGUUAUUCAAGUCAGAGGUGAAAGCCCGGGGCUCAACCCCGGAACUGCCUUUGAAACUAGAUAGCUAGAGUCUUGGAGAGGUUAGUGGAAUUCCGAGUGUAGAGGUGAAAUUCGUAGAUAUUCGGAAGAACACCAGUGGCGAAGGCGACUAACUGGACAAGUACUGACGCUGAGGUACGAAAGCGUGGGGAGCAAACAGGAUUAGAUACCCUGGUAGUCCACGCCGUAAACGAUGAUAACUAGUUGUUCGGUCACUUGGUGACUGAGUGACGCAGCUAACGCAUUAAGUUAUCCGCCUGGGGAGUACGGUCGCAAGNUUAAAACUUAAGGAAUUGACGG